This 259-nucleotide ribosomal RNA is filed under the name uncultured bacterium. RNAcentral describes it as "partial 16S ribosomal RNA". It matches the Rfam family "Bacterial small subunit ribosomal RNA", at positions 524 to 776 of the family's 1533-position model. The record is from RNAcentral.
UACGUAGGAGACGAGCGUUUGUCCGGAGUUACUGGGCGUAAAAGGGGUGCGCAGGCGGCCCCUGCGCGUCGCGAGUGAAAUCUCCCCGGCUCAACUGGGAGGGUGGUCGCGAGACGGGCAGGGCUUGAGGCUCGGUGAGGGGCGUGGAAUUCCGGGUGGAGCGGUGAAAUGCGUAGAGAUCCGGAGGAACACCAACGGCGUAGGCAGCGCCCUAGACGAGACCUGACGCUCAGGCACGAAAGCGCGGGGAGCGAACAGG